CCCUAUACCUAAUUCUUAGCC
Molecule: non-coding RNA, 21 nt
Filed under: Arabidopsis thaliana (thale cress)
Lineage: Eukaryota; Viridiplantae; Streptophyta; Magnoliopsida; Brassicales; Brassicaceae
Source: RNAcentral